This is a long non-coding RNA of Hirundo rustica (Barn swallow), 2122 nucleotides long. RefSeq lists it as uncharacterized. Lineage: Eukaryota; Metazoa; Chordata; Aves; Passeriformes; Hirundinidae. The transcript is spliced from 3 exons. The record is from RefSeq and is a predicted model, not a curated record.
GGCUCAUCUGUGGCUGAUGGAGAGAGACAGGCUCGUCUCCAGCACAGCCUGAAACAUUUGAAGGUGAAAUGUCACCAGUUACUCAUUUCCCACUAUCACAAUGUGGAUCAGCCAGCCAAGGAGCAGCUGAGGGCCGGUGCCACAGCAAGGGAAGCGUGGGACAGUGAGACCAGACCUACGUGGGGAGCAGCAGCACAGGCAGCAGAGCUCCUCCCUGCCAGCCCAGAACCUUUGCAGCUCCUCUGAGCUGCUCUCCACUGCAUCUUGAGGGACCUUGGAUCACCAGCUCCUCCCACCGUGAAUUUAUUCAGCCUCCCUUUCACCAGUCCCAAAGCCAGACAAGAGUUUGUUUCACUACAAGAAAACAGAAGAAAUGAGAAUUCAAGACUCCAGCCAUUCCCCUUCAGUAUUUCCCUAAAGAAGGGCAUGAAAGAGAACAGGGAAAGUUGAUAAGGCUGUAUUCUCCUCUUUUCCCCCCAGUCCUCCUGAUUCCUUGUUUGGCAGUAACACGCUCCAGCUGUGAUGGGCAAGGGGGGCACGAAAUGAAGAGCACAGCUGGCUGUGAUAAAUGAGGCCUGAAGGACUCAGGGCUGGCUAAUGUGGAACAUCCACAGCGUGCCCUGCUCAUGAGGGAAGAGCAGGAGGCCAGCACGUGUCAGGAAUGUAAGGCUGGCUCCUGUUCUGGGAGAGGAGAACAAGGAGAAAAUCACUGAACUGGCAGUGAGGACAUCAUGAAUGUACAGCUGGCUUGAUUUUCUGUUCUGUCACUUUGAAAUCAAUGCAGUCGUGUAAACAAAAAAUGAGUGGACUUGAGGAAAACAAGGAUGAGGAGACAUCGGAAGAAUUUAUGUGGGCUAACAAGUGAAAUGGGGACUAUCUUAAAAACAGCUUCCUUGGACUACAAGGACUGAGCCAAGCGUGUGGAUGCUCAAGGAAAUGAAUUAAUUUAUAAAGUAGGGAGGGAAUAAGGAGAUGAAUUAGACAAAACUAAGUCUGGAAGGGAAUUUAAACCAGAACCUUAUAUAGACACUGGAGCAGCAGGAGGUGCUGAAGAGAUGUUACAAAAUGUCCAGAGGAUGGAACUGUCAGUUCUCUACCAUUUGUCAAGAAUUUUCAUAGAGAACGCUUUUCUUCUGUCAAGUAAAUUAUGAUAUAAAAUGUUUUAGACUGUUAAAACACUUGAAAAAAAGAAAAUAAGCUAUGAAUAGCGUAGGUGAUACCUUCCAGCUUUGCAGCUGAAGAAAGCUGCUCUGUAAAACUUGUUUUAUUUUGUCCACAGUGUUCUUGACCUAAUCACAGAAGUAUGUGUCACCCUAAACCUCACCAGCUUCAGAGUUUAACACAUUCCUUACCCUGUCUCAGGAAUGAGGAGCCAGCUGCACAACCUGGGGCCUUGUGUUCAUCUUCAGGUGCUCUUGGGCCUUCAAAAGGAGACAGAAUCUCUCUAACAGUCCUGAUAGAGGUUCUGUUCUCUUGUCAGUGAGCAGAACUCAGAAGAAAACAGGUCUGAAAAAGCUUUGACCACCUGAAGAUGGAACAGGAAGUGAAAAGGCUGGAAAAUGCCAAGAGAGAGGAUGAAUUCCCACAGCUCCAGCAGGAAUGCUUCCCUGCUGGCCAGCCUGUGACCUGUGCCUUAAAGUAUCAUGGAAGAGCUUCCCAUGUCUCCACAUGGCUCUUGUGGAGCUCUGAAAUAAUCCUGAGUGUGCUUCCACAGCCCUUAAUGUGCAUGGAAGGAAGACAAAAGCCAAUUUAUUUCUAACAUCCCUUCUCUCAGCGCCUCUAAUGUUCCUGCUUCUGAAUCAAAGGGAGGCAUUCUUCAGGAAGAUGCUAAUAAAUAGCUUUUCCUUGGGGGAAGAAGCAUUUUCCCAUCUCUAAGAAAUUUCUCUGGCCAUGUGAAAUUCAAAUUUGUUAGCUUGCCCUACAAACAGCAACUCAUUUAGAAACAAAUUACAAAUAUUAGAUGGAGACAGUGAACUUGAUAAUGCAAUGCUGCCACAUCAGUUGUAGAAUAAUGCAUCUUAAUGAAGGCUUCCCAUGUGAAUAAACCAUUAUAUUUACAAGCUUUUCACAGUUAAUGACCCAGAACUGGAUAACGAAACUCACAUUUUUAGUGUGGUCCUCU